GAAAAAAUACAGUCAACUGUC
Molecule: unclassified non-coding RNA, 21 nt
Filed under: Dictyostelium discoideum
Lineage: Eukaryota; Evosea; Eumycetozoa; Dictyosteliales; Dictyosteliaceae
Source: RNAcentral